GGGGAUUUAGCUCAGCGGCAUAAGCGCCUGCCUUGCAAGCAGGCAGUCGUGAGUUCGAUCCUCAGUACCGA
Transfer RNA from Cavia porcellus (domestic guinea pig), 71 nucleotides. It matches the Rfam family "tRNA". From Rfam's summary of the family: Transfer RNA (tRNA) molecules are approximately 80 nucleotides in length. Their secondary structure includes four short double-helical elements and three loops (D, anti-codon, and T loops). Further hydrogen bonds mediate the characteristic L-shaped molecular structure. tRNAs have two regions of fundamental functional importance: the anti-codon, which is responsible for specific mRNA codon recognition, and the 3' end, to which the tRNAs corresponding amino acid is attached (by aminoacyl-tRNA synthetases). tRNAs cope with the degeneracy of the genetic code in two manners: having more than one tRNA (with a specific anti-codon) for a particular amino acid; and 'wobble' base-pairing, i.e. permitting non-standard base-pairing at the 3rd anti-codon position. Lineage: Eukaryota; Metazoa; Chordata; Mammalia; Rodentia; Caviidae. The record is from Rfam.